GGAAGGAUAGUGUUUUUUUUUUUUUAAAUUGUGCUUUAUUGAUUUGCCUCUUUCUCCCCCCUCCCCCCUUUUUUUAGUCUGGCUCUCCCAAAAUUGCCCAGGCUGGCCUGUAACUCCUAGCCUCAAGGGAUCCUCUUGCUUCAGCCUUCACAGUAGCUGUGACUACUGGCAUGGGCCUCCAUGUUCAGGACUUUUGCCCAUUUUUAGACUUGAAAUUUAAUGUAAAUGUAAUACUGACUUGGAAGAACUUUAGAUGUAUGAAAACUCCUUCUGUGAUAUGUGUUGCGAAUAUUUCCUCCAGUGUCAAUUACCUUUAACUUUGUUUGCAAUGUAUUUUGGUAUUUAGGAGUCAAAUACAUCACAUUUUCCCCUUAGAAUUUCUGCCUGUGGUUUUUAUGUGAGAGGAGCAGUGCAUAUUCCUUUUCACACAGGCUGUUUAAUUCCACUUUCGUGGGCAUGGACUGGGACAAAGCUUCUCUCCAUGACACCAUCCCUUUCUCUGUCCACUAUUAAAGAGUGCCCACCUUCAAUUCUAGAAGCUUAGGUAAUGAGUUAUCUGUAGACGAUGGGUGAUAGUGGGUUUUGAUAGUAGUGGUGAGCUGGGCAGCAUCCCCAGGUGGACAGAUAAGCGUCACCCCAGAUGUGAUAGUUACAGAAAGAUGUGCCAAUCCUUGAUGGUUGGUGGAGCUCACAGGACAGUAUUUGGAGCAAGUUUCUCAUGAAGAGAACAUCCCAUUCCUUGCUCGGAACUGGAGAAUGUGG
This 762-nucleotide long non-coding RNA is filed under the name Marmota monax (woodchuck). The record is from RNAcentral. Lineage: Eukaryota; Metazoa; Chordata; Mammalia; Rodentia; Sciuridae.